GUAACAACGAGAACAUUUUAAGUUUUGUAGGCCGUCAGACUUGUUUCCCAUCUUAUUGUUACGUUGCUGCUUUUUUCUUCAUAACUCCUAUGUUUGUAUCCGCCCAGUCAACAAUUCGACUGGGCUUUUUUUC
Molecule: antisense RNA, 133 nt
Filed under: Vibrio mytili
Lineage: Bacteria; Pseudomonadati; Pseudomonadota; Gammaproteobacteria; Vibrionales; Vibrionaceae
Description: Vibrio regulatory RNA of OmpA
Rfam family: Vibrio regulatory RNA of OmpA
Source: RNAcentral